RNAcentral lists this transfer RNA (73 nucleotides) under Dictyocaulus viviparus (bovine lungworm). It matches the Rfam family "tRNA". Rfam says of the family: Transfer RNA (tRNA) molecules are approximately 80 nucleotides in length. Their secondary structure includes four short double-helical elements and three loops (D, anti-codon, and T loops). The record is from Rfam by way of RNAcentral. Lineage: Eukaryota; Metazoa; Nematoda; Chromadorea; Rhabditida; Metastrongylidae.
GUCUCAGUAAUGUAAUGGAUAAGCACGUCAUACCGAAAAUCUGCAGGUGCAGGUUCGACUCCCGUCUGAGGUU